GAUGAACGCUGGCGGCGUGCCUAAUACAUGCAAGUCGAGCGAACAGAUGAUGAUCUUGCUCCUCUGACGUUAUCGUCUGACGUGUGUUUAACUCGUUUAUAACCUACCUAUAUUUCUGGUAUAUCUUCGGGAAACCUUUUCUAAUACCGUAUAAUAUUUUUAACCUCAUGGUUCUUUAGUUAAUUACGUUUUUGCUGUCUCUUAUUUAUGUUUCCGCGCCGCAUUAGCUAGUUGGUAAGGUAACGGCUUACCAAGGCAACGAUGCGUAUCCGACCUGAGAGGGUGAUCGGCCACACUGGAACUGAGACACGGUCCAGACUCCUACGGGAGGCAGCAGUAGGGAAUCUUCCGCAAUGGGCGAAAGCAUGACGGAGCAACGCCGCGUGAGUGAUGAAGGUCUUCGGAUCGUAAAACUCUGUUAUUAGGGAAGAACAAAUGUGUAAGUAACUAUGCACGUCUUGACGGUACCUAAUCAGAAAGCCACGGCUAACUACGUG
Molecule: ribosomal RNA, 497 nt
Filed under: uncultured bacterium
Lineage: Bacteria
Description: partial 16S ribosomal RNA
Rfam family: Bacterial small subunit ribosomal RNA
Source: RNAcentral